AUAGAUACCCCGGUAGUCCACGCCCUAAACGAUGCGAACUGGAUGUUGGGUACAUUACGGUACUCAGUGUCGAAGCUAACGCGUUAAGUUCGCCGCCUGGGGAGUACGGUCGCAAGACUGAAACUCAAAGGAAUUGACGGGGGCCCGCACAAGCGGUGGAGUAUGUGGUUUAAUUCGAUGCAACGCGAAGAACCUUACCUGGCCUUGACAUCUGUCGAAUCCUGCAGAGAUGCGGGAGUGCCGCAAGGAACGACAAGACAGGUGCUGCAUGGCUGUCGUCAGCUCGUGUCGUGAGAUGUUGGGUUAAGUCCCGCAACGAGCGCAACCCUUGUCCCUAGUUGCCAACGAGUAAAGUCGGGAACUCUAGGGAGACUGCCGGUGACAAACCGGAGGAAGGUGGGGAUGACGUCAAGUCCUCAUGGCCCUUACGGCCAGGGCUACACACGUACUACAAUGGUCGGUACAGAGGGUUGCGAAGCCGCGAGGUGGAGCCAAUCCCAGAAAGCCGAUCCCAGUCCGGAUUGGAGU
This 528-nucleotide ribosomal RNA is filed under the name uncultured bacterium. Its description in RNAcentral is "bacterial SSU rRNA". It matches the Rfam family "Bacterial small subunit ribosomal RNA", at positions 778 to 1304 of the family's 1533-position model. The record is from RNAcentral.